This 344-nucleotide ribosomal RNA is filed under the name uncultured bacterium. RNAcentral's name for it is "bacterial SSU rRNA". It matches the Rfam family "Bacterial small subunit ribosomal RNA", at positions 8 to 334 of the family's 1533-position model. The record is from RNAcentral.
AGGGUUUGAUUAUGGCUCAGGAUGAACGCUGGCGGCGUGCUUAACACAUGCAAGUCGAGCGAAGCAUUUAAGAUGAUCUCUUCGGAUUGAGUCUUAUAUGACUGAGCGGCGGACGGGUGAGUAACGCGUGGGUAACCUGCCUCAUACAGGGGGAUAACAGUUAGAAAUGACUGCUAAUACCGCAUAAGCGCACAGGGCUGCAUGGCCUGGUGUGAAAAACUCCGGUGGUAUGAGAUGGACCCGCGUCUGAUUAGCUAGUUAGAGGGGUAACGGCCCACCAAGGCGACGAUCUGUAGCCGGCCUGAGAGGGUGAACGGCCACAUUGGGACUGAGACACGGCCCAG